GACGAACGCUGGCGGCGUGCUUAACACAUGCAAGUCGAACGGAAAGGCCCCCAUCUUGGUGGGGGUGCUCGAGUGGCGAACGGGUGAGUAACACGUGGGUGAUCUGCCCUGUACUUCGGGAUAAGCUUGGGAAACUGGGUCUAAUACCGGAUAGGACCAUGGUUUAGUGUCUCAUGGUGGAAAGAUUAUUGUUUUGGUGCAGGAUGAGCUCGCGGCCUAUCAGCUUGUUGGUGGGGUAAUGGCCUACCAAGGCGUCGACGGGUAGCCGGCCUGAGAGGGUGGACGGCCACAUUGGGACUGAGAUACGGCCCAGACUCCUACGGGAGGCAGCAGUGGGGAAUAGUGCACAAUGGGCGCAAGCCUGAUGCAGCGACGCCGCGUGGGGGAUGACGGCCUUCGGGUUGUAAACUCCUUUCGUUAGGGACGAAGCCGCACUUUUUUUGGGUGUGGUGACGGUACCUUUGUUAAGAAGCACCGGCUAACUACGUG
This 489-nucleotide ribosomal RNA is filed under the name uncultured bacterium. RNAcentral's name for it is "partial 16S ribosomal RNA". It matches the Rfam family "Bacterial small subunit ribosomal RNA", at positions 28 to 507 of the family's 1533-position model. The record is from RNAcentral.